CUUUUUUUUUUUUUCGUUCUUUUCCUUUUUUUUUCUCCUGU
This 41-nucleotide non-coding RNA is filed under the name Platyophrya macrostoma. Lineage: Eukaryota; Ciliophora; Colpodea; Cyrtolophosidida; Platyophryidae. The record is from RNAcentral.